GAUGAACGCUGGCGGCGUGCCUAAUACAUGCAAGUCGAACGAACAGAUGAGGCGCUUGCUCCUCUGACGUUAGCCGCAGGCGUGAGAAACACACGUGUAUCACCUCCCUAUCAUACUGAGAUCACUUCGGGACACCGGCUCUUACCGCAUAUGAUCUCUUGCUCCAUGUUGUGCGUUAGAGAAAUACGGUUUUUCUGUCUCUUCUCGCUGCUUCCGGGCUGCAUUAGCUAGUUGGUACGGUAACGGCUUAUCAAGGGUACGAGGCGUAGCCGACCUGAGAGGGUGAUCGGCCACACUGGAGCUGGGACACGGUCCAGACUCCUACGGGAGGCAGCAGUAGGGAAUCGUCCGCAAUGGUCGAAAGCCUGACGGAGCAACGCCGAGUGAGUGAUGAAGGUCUUCGGAUCGUAAAACUCUGUUAUUAGGGAAGAACAAAUUUGUAAGUAACUAUGCACGUCUUGACGGUACCUAAUCAGAAAGCCACGGCUAACUACGUG
RNAcentral lists this ribosomal RNA (497 nucleotides) under uncultured bacterium. RNAcentral describes it as "partial 16S ribosomal RNA". It matches the Rfam family "Bacterial small subunit ribosomal RNA", at positions 28 to 507 of the family's 1533-position model. The record is from RNAcentral.